This 1306-nucleotide long non-coding RNA is filed under the name Canis lupus familiaris (dog). RNAcentral describes it as "lncRNA (ENSCAFG00040012985.1)". Lineage: Eukaryota; Metazoa; Chordata; Mammalia; Carnivora; Canidae. The record is from RNAcentral.
AGUGAAUGCAAAAGUAACUAUGAUGUGACUAAGAAUGUGGGUGGGCGGGAGGCUGGUGGGGACCCAGCCCAGCUGCCUGGCUGCCUCUCAUGCUUCUGGCUCCCAUCUCCUCGGAACCCCAGAGAGCUACCUCCGAGCCUGAGGGGGAAACGAUGGUCUGGAGCAACAGCAACUGCCCUUGCCUUUGGAUCCAUUGCUCACACUGCAGGGCCCUUGCCCAGAAGCUGCAAGGAAGAUAAAAGGCAUUUCUCAUCCCUACUCUGCCCACCAAACCCCAUGACGAAUUGCCAGCUCUGAAGAAAAACAUUAACAAAUAGAAGGAAAGAAAGAUCCCCACGUGGAGCCGGUUCUUGUGUUCAUGGCUAGAGCACAGAGAGGUCCAAUCAGACCUUCAACAGGAACUUGUUUGUUGAUUGACAGCAAAAAGAGACUAGGUUUUGUAAAAUUUUUUCAAAGUUCAUGUCAUAUAAUGUGUUAGGUAACAGGCUUAGCCUCUGAAAAUCUUAAAGACAACAUUUGCUAUUUCAGUCUAUUAAAAACUAGUAAUAUACCAGCAUGACUAUAGCCAGAGUCCUUAUUUGUCUUGGUCACCAUGAUUUCUGUAGCCUCUAGAACAGUGCCUGGCAUAUGGUAGACUCAGUGAAGAAUAAGGAAUGAAGGAAUGAAUGAACAAAUGAAUGAAUGAACUGGAAGUUCAUUAGGUGGGAAAGGAAAUGAAGGAGCAUUGAAAGUAUCCUGAACAGGAGAGAAAAAAGAAGCAAGAGAAGUGUCUGUUUAGGUUCUUCUCAUUUCUUUACUUAAAUUUUCAUAAAUUAAUCAUGAUCGUCUCAACAGAGACCAUGUUAGUUAUUAGAUUUUAGCUUCUUUCCCAACAUUGUCCUGUUGGACAAUGUGUUGAAUAAUGUAAAUGGACACCAAAUGGGAUACCACUGUGAAAGUUUGUAGCAUGUUGUGAACUUUAUUACUUUACCACUUUGGUUUCCAAUCUCUUAAUUCAGUAGCAAAUGUUGUUGAGAGGAUAGAAGUUUAGUCUGAUAAAGACUUUGGACUCGUCAAGAAUUUUUUCAUCACAUUCAUUUCAUCAGACUUAAGAGGUAAGAAUUAUCUUUAUUUUGUAGAGUAUUUUCUUCUAAUAAUACUGAGUUCUAAUAACUGGAUUAUAAGGUAAAAAUUACGUAUUAAAUAAGCAGGUGCCAUUUUACAAUUUUCCUAGUUCCUUUUUUUGUUUUGUUUUGUUUUUAUUUGGUUCUGUUUGCUUUUCAUUGAGUGUUGAAAUUUUUUACUCACGUUCUGAUUGUAACUUUGC